This 437-nucleotide ribosomal RNA is filed under the name uncultured bacterium. RNAcentral describes it as "bacterial SSU rRNA". It matches the Rfam family "Bacterial small subunit ribosomal RNA", at positions 958 to 1392 of the family's 1533-position model. The record is from RNAcentral.
AACGCGAAGAACCUUACCAAGAAUUGACAUCCUCCUUUAACCCAUGGAAACAUGGGAAGCCCUUCGGGGCGAGGAGAGACAGGUGGUGCAUGGUUGUCGUCAGCUCGUGUCGUGAGAUGUUGGGUUAAGUCCCGCAACGAGCGCAACCCUUGCUUUUAGUAACCAGCACGUAAAGGUGGGGACACUAAAGGGACUGCCGUGGAUAAUACGGAGGAAGGUGGGGACGACGUCAAAUCAUCAUGCCCCUUAUAACUUGGGCAACACACGUGCUACAAUGGGAUCUACAAAGUGAAGCGAGACGGCGACGUUAAGCAAACCACAGAAAGGAUCUCUCAGUUCGGAUUGUAGUCUGCAACCCGACUACAUGAAGCUGGAAUCGCUAGUAAUCGCGAAUCAGCAUGUCGCGGUGAAUACGUUCUCGGGUCUUGUACACACCG